CGGAGGAAAAGAAACCAACAGGGAUUGCCUCAGUAACGGCGAGUGAAGCGGCAACAGCUCAAAUUUGAAAUCUGGCCCUAGGCCCGAGUUGUAAUUUGCAGAGGAUGUUUCUGGCGAGGUGCCUUCCGAGUGCCCUGGAACGGGACGCCAUAGAGGGUGAGAGCCCCGUACGGUUGGUCGCUAAGCCUCUGUGAAACUCCUUCGACGAGUCGAGUAGUUUGGGAAUGCUGCUCUAAAUGGGAGGUAUACGUCUUCUAAAGCUAAAUACCGGCCAGAGACCGAUAGCGCACAAGUAGAGUGAUCGAAAGAUGAAAAGCACUUUGAAAAGAGGGUUAAAUAGUACGUGAAAUUGUUGAAAGGGAAGCGCUCAUGACCAGACUUGGGCCGGUUGAUCAUCCGCCGUUCUCGGCGGUGCACUCUGCCGGCUCAGGCCAGCAUCAGUUUGGUCCGGGGGAUAAAGGUGUAGGGAAUGUGGCUCCCCCCGGGGAGUGUUAUAGCCCUGCGCGUAAUACCCUGGACUGGACUGAGGUUCGCGCAUCUGCAAGGAUGCUGGCGUAAUGGUUAUCAGUGACCCGUCUUGAAACACGGACCAAGGAGUCGUCUUCGUAUGCGAGUGUUCGGGUGUCAAACCCCUACGCGUAAUGAAAGUGAACGUAGGAGAGAGCUUCGGCGCAUCUCCGACCGAUCCUGAUGUUCUCGGAUGGAUUUGAGUAAGAGCAUACGGGGCCGGACCCGAAAGAAGGUGAACUAUGCCUGUAUAGGGUGAAGCCAGAGGAAACUCUGGUGGAGGCUCGCAGCGGUUCUGACGUGCAAAUCGAUCGUCAAAUAUGGGCAUGGGGGCGAAAGACUAAUCGAACCUUCUAGUAGCUGGUU
RNAcentral lists this ribosomal RNA (873 nucleotides) under Hydropisphaera fungicola. Its description in RNAcentral is "eukaryotic LSU rRNA". It matches the Rfam family "Eukaryotic large subunit ribosomal RNA", at positions 51 to 956 of the family's 3401-position model. The record is from RNAcentral. Lineage: Eukaryota; Fungi; Ascomycota; Sordariomycetes; Hypocreales; Bionectriaceae.